GCCGGGCGUGGUGGCACGUGCCUGUAAUCCCAGCUACUCGGGAGGCUGAGGCAGGAGAAUUGCUUGAACCUGGGAGGUGGCGGUUGCAGUGAGCAGAGAUCAUGCCACUGCACUCCAGCCUGGGUGACAGAGCAAGACUCUGUCUCAA
This 148-nucleotide non-coding RNA is filed under the name Nomascus leucogenys (northern white-cheeked gibbon). Lineage: Eukaryota; Metazoa; Chordata; Mammalia; Primates; Hylobatidae. The record is from Rfam by way of RNAcentral.